RNAcentral lists this long non-coding RNA (10245 nucleotides) under Daucus carota (carrot). RNAcentral's name for it is "long non-coding RNA (DCAR_LNC005793)". Lineage: Eukaryota; Viridiplantae; Streptophyta; Magnoliopsida; Apiales; Apiaceae. The record is from RNAcentral.
GCAUAAUUCAGGAGUCUUGACAUGUACCUGCACACUUCAGGCAUUUCCUCCGGCUGAGGAGGCUCCGGAGCCAUGUUACAGAAGAUAGUAUCCCUCCAGUUAGCUGCAGGUGCUUUAUAAAGAUCAAAAUUGCUAUUAUACAGAAACUUUUUCGUGAAAUCACGCGAAUAAAACAGCUUCUUCAGCUCAGUAUCUUGCUCAUGAAACUUAUGUUGGGUUUUAGUUUCUAUCUAUGAGAUUAAAAGCCCAAUAGGAUUACCCUUGUUUUGGCCCACAAGGAGAUAAAAAUAAAGGGAACCCUAUAUAUAAAUAUAGGAGGAUAUUUGUGAAAAUAAGCAAGAGAGAAAAUAGGCAAAAGAGAUAUAUUGUGUGAAAAUUCGUAGGUAAUUUUCUGGUUGCGUUGGCUGCCUUGUUUUUGCGUUUCCCGGAGUUCCAACGGUCGGAUCGUCCUGAAUUUCGGACAGCAUCUUCCUAACACCGAUAUCUAAAUUCUGAACGGUGGAGAUCGGAUUCGGAGGUGUAUUUGAGGGGCUGGGCAGUAGCUAAAGAGCCGUGGAGAGGCUGAACCUAGCCGUGGGUCUUUGUUCUUUUGUUGCUUAUUUGAUUCCAUACUUCUUGACGAGUUAUUCCAAGAGUGUGAAGGUGAUUGUAUUCCUCUAGUUUUAUCUGGAGAAGAACUUGGUGUAUUACCCAUAUAAUUUAUCAUAGUGAAUUGUUUGGGUGGACUACGGUCCCGUGGUUUUUACUCCUUUCAUUGAGGGGGUUUUCCACGUAUAAUUCUUGGUGUCUUGUUUAUUGUUUAUUGUUGCUUUACUUGUUUGUUUCAUCGAAGGUUCAUACAAGUAGGGAUAAGUAUUGUCCAACGAAGAUUAAUUCCGCACUUAGUUGUUGCCGUUGUGGUCACUUUUUCCCAUCAGAUUGGCAUCAGAGCCAGGUUAUUGUUUUUGAACUUGUUUGAACGAUGGAAACGAAUACGAGUAGAAUGGUUAAUUUGAAUGGUUCUAAUUAUCAUGUUUGGAAAGGGAAGAUGGAGGAUCUUCUUUAUGUGAAGGAAUAUUAUCUUCCCGUGUUUACUACGGAGAAGCCUGCAAAUAAAACCGAGCAAGAAUGGACUAUUUUGCAUCGACAGGUUUGUGGGUAUAUACGGCAAUGGGUGGAUGAUAAUGUUUUGAACCAUAUUAGUGGAGAGACACAUGCGCGUACUUUGUGGAACAAGCUCGAGCAACUCUAUGCUCGAAAGACGGGAAAUAAUAAGUUGUAUCUGAUUAAACAGUUGAUGUCUCUACGAUAUCAAGAUGGCACUACAAUUUCUGAUCACUUGAAUGCAUUCCAAGGAAUUAUGAAUCAGCUUGCUGGAAUGGGUAUCAAGUUUGAAGAUGAGAUACAGGGAUUGUGUCUUUUGGGUACUUUACCAGAUUCUUGGGAGACAUUCAGGAUGUCUUUGUCGAACUCAGCUCCGGAUGGUAUUAUCAGUAUGGAACUAGCUAAGAGCAGUAUUCUGAAUGAAGAGAUGAGAAGAAAGUCACAGGGUUCCUCUUCACAAUCAGAAAUCCUAGUCACCGAAAGGAAGGGGAGAGCUCAAAGCAGAGGUCCAGCCAAUAGAGGUAAUCAACGGAGUAGUUCUAGAGGUAAGUAUUCUAAUGUUGAGUGCUAUCAUUGUGGUAAGAAGGGACAUACGAAAAAGUUCUGCAGAAAGUUGAAGCGAGAAAAUAAAAAGAGCUCAGACAACGAUCAGACGAAAACUGACAGUAGUAAUGAUAAUUCUGUGGUGAUUGCUACUACUGAUGAGCACCUGAUCUGUUGUGAUGGAGACAUUGUUAACCUUGCACAAGAUGAUUUGAGUUGGGCUAUUGAUAGUGGUGCUUCGUGUCAUGUUACGUCACGAAGGGACUUCUUUACAUCUUAUACUUCUGGUGAUUUUGGAGAUGUUAAAAUGGGUAACAGUGGCAUAUCAAAAGUUGUUGGCGUCGGUGAGGUAUGUCUGAAGUUUGACACGGGCAUGGAGUUAUUUCUUCAUGAUGUGAAGCACGUUCCAGAUAUGCGAAUGAAUUUAAUUUCAACAGGCCUUCUUGAUGAUGAAGGGUAUGUUAGCAGCUUUGGUAAUGGUCAAUGGAAGCUCACUCGGGGUUCUUUAAUUGUUGCAAGAGGAAAGAGGUGUCCGAAAUUAUAUAUGACACAACCUAAAGUCUCUACUGGCAUUGUUAACGCUGUGGAGAAUGUUGAUAUGAUUGAUUUAUGGCAUAAGAGACUUGCUCACAUGACUGAAAAAGGAAUGAAUAUGCUGUCGAAGAAAAAGGUACUAUCUGGUCUGACUGAUAUACAUUUGAAAAGGUGUUCUCACUGUGUUGCUGGCAAGCAAAACAGAGUUUCUUUUAAGAGUCGUCCUCCCUCUCGUAGAGAGCAUAUACUUGACUUGGUGCAUUCCGAUGUUUGUGGUCCCAUGAAAACCCGAACCAAUGGUGGUUCAUUAUAUUUUGUUACAUUCAUCGAUGAUCAUUCAAGGAAGUUGUGGGUUUAUACCUUGAAGACUAAAGAUCAAGUAUUAGACGUGUUUAAGCAUUUUCAGGCUUUAGUUGAGAGACAGACUGGGAAGAAACUGAAAUGUAUCCGGACAGAUAAUGGAGGGGAGUAUACAGGUCCCUUUGAUGUGUAUUGCAGACAGCAGGGUAUUCGGCAUCAAAAAACUCCACCAAAGACACCUCAGCUUAAUGGUUUGGCAGAGAGGAUGAACAGAACACUAGUGGAGCGGGUCAGAUGUUUACUUUCACAUGCUGAGUUGCCGAUGUCUUUCUGGGGUGAGGCACUGAAUACUGCGGUAAAUGUAUUAAAUCUCUCACCUUGUGUUCCUUUACAGUUUGAUAUUCCAGAUAGAGUUUGGAGUGGUAAAGAUGUUUCUUAUGAUCAUUUGCGUGUCUUUGGAUGCAAGGCUUUUGUGCAUAUUCCCAAAGAUGAAAGGUCUAAACUAGAUGUGAAGACUAAAGAGUGCAUAUUCCUUGGUUAUAGCCAAGAUGAGUUCGGCUAUAGGCUCUAUGAUCCAGUUUCAAAGAAGAUUGUGAGAAGCCGAGAUGUUAUCUUUGUUGAAGAUCAGAGUUUGAAAGAUGUUGGGAAGGCAGAGUCAGUUCCUCAACAUAACAAUGAUCUGGUUGAUUUGGAUCCAGUUCCUCCAAGACAUGUGGACUCGCAGGUUGGAGACGAUGCUCAUGAUAAUGACCAACAUGACACUAAUACUGAUAUUCCCGAAAAUAGUGACAUGGAUGAUGAUGCCCAUGAGGAGUCACCGGUACAAAAUGUUCCACCAUUCGUUCCACUCAGGCGGUCUAACAGAGAUCGUCAUCCUUCCAACAGGUAUUCUGCUGAUGAGUAUGUUCUAUUGACUGAUAGUGGUGAACCUGAAUCUUAUGCAGAAGCUAUGGAAGAUGAGCACAAGAAGGAGUGGGUUUAUGCCAUGCAAGAUGAGAUGAAAUCCUUGUAUGAGAAUAAUACUUUUGAGUUGGUGAAGCUACCUAAGGGAAAACGAGCUUUGAAGAACAGGUGGGUUUACAGAGUGAAGCAAGAUGAGCAUACUUCACAACCACGGUACAAAGCUAGGUUGGUCGUCAAGGGAUUCAGUCAGAAAAAGGGUAUUGAUUUUGAUGAGAUUUUUUCUCCCGUUGUUAAGAUGACAUCAAUUCGUACGGUGCUUGGUUUAGCAGCUAGUCUUGAUUUGGAGGUUGAACAAAUGGAUGUCAAGACAGCUUUUCUACAUGGUGACUUGGACAAAGAAAUCUAUAUGGAGCAGCCUGAAGGUUUUGAGGUUAAAGGUAAAGAGGGGUAUGUUUGUAGACUUCUAAAAAGUCUAUAUGGUUUGAAGCAAGCACCAAGGCGAUGGUAUAAAAAGUUCGAGUCAUUUAUGAAGAAGCAAGGCUACCGUAAGACUAUUUCUGACCAUUGUGUUUUUGUUCAGAGAUUUUCAGAUGAUGAUUUUAUCAUAUUAUUGCUUUAUGUGGAUGACAUGCUUAUUGUUGGCAAAAAUACUGAAAGAAUUUCCCAACUGAAGCAACAGUUGAGUAAGUCCUUUGCCAUGAAGGACUUGGGGCCAGCGAAACAGAUUCUUGGCAUUCGUAUUCAUCGAGAUAGAGUGGCCAAGAAGUUGCAUAUAUCACAAGAGCAAUAUAUUGAGAAGGUGCUUUGCAGGUUCAACAUGGAUAAAGCUAAAGUUGUUAGUUCUCCUCUUACUACCAACUUUAAGUUAACUGAAAAGGAUUCUCCUUCUACGAAGGAAGAAAUUGCAGAGAUGGAUGGAGUUCCAUAUGCCUCAGCAGUAGGAAGUUUGAUGUAUGCUAUGGUAUCUACGAGACCUGAUAUAGCCUUUGCAGUUGGGGUUGUCAGUCGUUAUCUUACAAAUCCGGGUAAGAAGCAUUGGGAAGCAGUUAAGUGGAUUAUGCGAUAUCUUCGAGGUACUUCCAAAUUGGGUCUUACAUUUGGGAAUGAUAAACCAGUGCUUAUUGGAUAUACAGAUUCUGACUUGGCAGGUGAUAAGGAUACAUUGAAAUCCACUUCUGGAUAUUUGAUGACUUUUGCAGGGGGAGCAGUCUCAUGGCAAUCUAGGUUGCAAAAGGGUGUUUCACUUUCUACGGGGGAGGCAGAGUAUGUAGCAACAACUGAAGCUUGUAAAGAGUUGUUGUGGUUAAAGCGGUUGAUGCAGGAGCUUGGCUUCCCGCAACAACGCUAUGUUGUUCUUUGUGAUAAUCAAGCAGCUAUCGAUAUAGCUAAGCAUCCAACAUUUCAUGCAAGGACGAAACAUAUCGAUAUGAGGUAUCAUUGGAUUAGAGACGCUCUUGAAGAAGGGUUGUUUGAAGUGGAAAAGGUACACACCGAUGAUAAUGGUUCUGAUAUGUUGACAAAGUCUUUAGCUAAAGGGAAGCUAAAGGUAUGUUGUUCGAUCGCCGGAAUGGCGAACUCUUUCUCAUAGUUAGAAAGGGGGAGAUUUGUUGGGUUUUAGUUUCUAUCUAUGAGAUUAAAAGCCCAAUAGGAUUACCCUUGUUUUGGCCCACAAGGAGAUAAAAAUAAAGGGAACCCUAUAUAUAAAUAUAGGAGGAUAUUUGUGAAAAUAAGCAAGAGAGAAAAUAGGCAAAAGAGAUAUAUUGUGUGAAAAUUCGUAGGUAAUUUUCUGGUUGCGUUGGCUGCCUUGUUUUUGCGUUUCCCAGAGUUCCAACGGUCGGAUCGUCCUGAAUUUCGGACAGCAUCUUCCUAACACCGAUAUCUAAAUUCUGAACGGUGGAGAUCGGAUUCGGAGGUGUAUUUGAGGGGCUGGGCAGUAGCUAAAGAGCCGUGGAGAGGCUGAACCUAGCCGUGGGUCUUUGUUCUUUUGUUGCUUAUUUGGUUCCAUACUUCUUGACGAGUUAUUCCAAGAGUGUGAAGGUGAUUGUAUUCCUCUAGUUUUAUCUGGAGAAGAACUUGGUGUAUUACCCAUAUAAUUUGUCAUAGUGAAUUGUUUGGGUGGACUACGGUCCCGUGGUUUUUACUCCUUUCAUUGAGGGGGUUUUCCACGUAUAAUUCUUGGUGUCUUGUUUAUUGUUUAUUGUUGCUUUACUUGUUUGUUUCAUCGAAGGUUCAUACAAAUAGGGAUAAGUAUUGUCCAACGAAGAUUAAUUCCGCACUUAGUUGUUGCCGUUGUGGUCACUUUUUCCCAUCAACUUACAAACUCCAUCGAUCAUUUCAUCCAUGACACUUUCUGGAACACCAUGAUUCACAACUCGAAAAAAUCCCCAGUUCUCACAAGCAUCUCUAACUUCUUUAACAACUCUGCCACGCGAACUCUCAUCGAUAUCAAUAUUUUUCAAGUCUAUGCUUGGAAAACCAGAUUUGCUGUGCCUUGAAGAUGGAAUUUGACUUAUUUGAGCUUGAUUAUGUACAAAUAUUCGAGGGAUUUUGGUGACACCGGAGUCUACAAGUCCCUUUACACCAGCUUUUGUAUCAUCAAAAGCUUUUAACUCACUUUGUCGAUCAUAUCCUUGUUUCUCCAUUGUUUUGGUAGCUCAAAUGUUGUGACUACUGAGCUAAAAUAGUGAGCAGAUAAGAUGAUGUGGCGCGAUGUGGACGCAUUUUUUCCUGUAUGACAAGGAAAAAUUUAAUCAAUACUUAUCAACAACGUCACUGCCUCCGUCACUUUUUGGUCAUAUGUUAUAAUCAUAUUAUUAAUUUGGAAUCUCUAGAGCCUGAUCUGCAGUAAUGGAGGAAGCCAUUAAGCCCUUAUGAAUACGAGUAUGAUACAUAAUCAGUUGGUGUGUUAGGAGUUGUCCCACAUCGGUUGUGGGAGGGGUAUAAAGCUAGAAUAUGAGUAGUCAGAACAUUUCUAAGAUGUUUUAUUGGAGGUGUCCAAAAACAAAAUCGUGCGGAUAUCACACAUAGUAUCGUCGUGAUUUUAGAUUUACCAAUCCCGUCAUCAGUAGAAAAAACAACAUUUUAAAACCAUAACAAUGUUUUCAUAUGAUACAUGAAGAAGAUUUCCUGCGUGUGCCACAAGAGAUCCAGGAACAAGACAACAUUAACUCAGUGAUUACCGAGAGCGACUAGUAGGUCACUAGUCUUGCAAAGUAUCACUCAGUUUAAUAUAUCAUAACAGCUAAUCAGCUUGAGUGAUUUUGUCACCAAGCAAAUUAUUCUUAUAUUAUUAUACAUAUUUAUCUAUUUUGGACUACAAAUUUUAUUCAUUUCAGCCUGAAGUGCAGCAAUCGAGAUUCCCCGUCCAGCCCUUUUGAGUAGGAGUAUGAUAAAUAUUCUUGAGCUGUUGUUUCUCUAUACUUGGGAGGAUUAUCAUCUGAAACCAACUCUUUGAUAGGUCCAUAGAGCUUCGGAGAUGGCAUUAGACCAGUGCUAAAGAAGCAUGCUACUGAUACUCUCAGGCCAAUUUUGUUUGCAACGACUCUGUGCUCCACACUUUUAAAGCGAUCAUUCGUUAGAAGCUGAAAAAACAAUCAUUAAACAAGAAUGAGAAACCUGAACUUGUCUUCACUUCAAUCAUUCAAUGUACACUACACAACAUCUAAAUUCGCAAUACUUGCCUGUAGAAGAUCUCCGAUGUUAACUAUAAGUGUCCCCGGAAGAGGCGGAACAUCAAUCCAAUGAUCUUGGUGAAGAAUUUGUAGUCCACCAAUCUGAUCUUGAAGAAGUACAGUGAGGAAAUGAAAAUCAGUGUGUUUGGUGGUGCCUAAUGUCAGUUCUGGCUGCGGACAUGGGGGAUAGCAAUGACAGAACAAUUCAAGCCCCUUGGCACAUUCCAUAUCUUCUAGGUGAUUAAUGUCCAGUCCCAGAGCCUUGGAUAGUAAUCCAAAUAAAGUAAUCCCCAAUUUCAUUACUUGUUCUGAAAACUCUAUCUGGAUAUCUCUACAAAUUUUAAUCAUAAUGGUAAAUUAUAAGCUUCACUGGUAGGAAAAUAUAGGUCACAUUUAAGAUCCGGAAUUAUCAUAUCAAAAUUCAGCAUACCUGCAUGGUGCUGGCAAUUCCUCUGGUUGAGGAGGAGGAGCCAUAACACAGUAAAGUGUGUCCCUCCAAUCAGCUGCCGGUGCACUAAACAAAUAAAAAUUGCUAUAGUACACCACUUUUCUUGUAGAGUCACGCGUGUAAAACUCUUUCUUCACCUCAGUGUCUUGCUCAAAGAACCUACGUACUCCAUGAAGCAUCUCUUCUAAUACAUUCACUGGAAUCCCAUGAUUCACAACUUGGAAAACACCAAAUGUCUCAGAUGCACACCGCACUUUAUUAACUAUCUCUUGAUGACUCUCUUGAUCUUUAUCAAGGCCUUCAAGAUCGAUGACAGGAAUACAAAAAUCUUUGCACUUGUCACCUGAGUUAUUUUCAAAGACAUCAGGUGGAUGAAUGAAUAUAUCCGGAAUUUUCUUAACUCCAGCGUCUACUAGUCCUUUCACCCCGGCUUUGGUAUCAUCAAAAGCUUGUAAUUCAUUCUUCCGGUUGGAGUAAGAUCUGUGGGACUGUUCUGCUGCUUCCAUGGUAUUACCAGUGACCAUAAACAUCUUGUGUUAUGUGCAUUAUAUAUUGUAAUUGCUAUUAUUUCUUGCCACGCCAGUAGUUCAAAGAUAAAUAAUUGACAGCUGCAUCUAACAACUAGUUUCCCAAAGAUACUCAAAUGUGCAACUUGAAAGCUUCAUUUUGAUAUGUCAUACAUAAUUAGUAAAAGUUCAUCUCAGCAAGUCAUGCAUAAUUUGCAACAAUAACAAUGAUAUCUGCAUGUUUAUAGUUAUUUUUUCGAAUUGAAAAUGCAUGAAUUUGUCAUAUUUGGUGGCAAAUGGUUACAAGUUACAACUGGUGCCUAGUCCUCAUCCUUGUUAAAGCAAUUCUUGGCGAUAGUCUGAACUUCCUAGACACUAGUGAGGUAAUUGAGAGUUGUAAAUUAAUUCUUGGAAGUUUGUAUCGAGUUUUAGUUACGUUUAUUCAGGAAAGUGCUAGUAAGGUAGUCAGUAGUGUAGGAAGUAUAAAUGGAGAAAUUACGUAAAAUCAAAUAAUCAAUAAUAAUAUAACAGUAUAUAUUAGAGGCACUUGAAAACCACACUAUAUUUAAAACAAAUAAGCUCUUUCACAUGGUGUUUGAAGGUGUUGUUGCUUCCAUCUUCCAGGAUACAACGAAUAGAGGUGAUCUAAAGCACUAGAGACCCGCCUCCUACAAACCGAAAACUGAACAAAUAGUCUUCUAUCUCACAAGAACUGAACCCUGAACCUACAGCUCUAACAUGAAUGAGUACAAGAACGGUGGCUGUGCAAGGGGCGAACGCACGUAAAAUGAUGAGGAGAAAUUUGCUAACCAAAUUAAGAAAAUGUUUUUAUCCUUAAAUCAUUGUGAUAUAUUAUUUUGACAUUGUAUUACUUGUAACAAGUCAAAUAUAAAAAACAAAAAAAAAAUCCAGAGAAACAGAGUAAUCCAUAUACAUAUUGAACAUCCCCUUUACUAAUCAACUCCAAUAAUUUGACUACCAAACAAUCUAUUUGAAUCUUUAGAGCCUGAUCUGCAGUAAUGGAGGAAGCCAUUAAGCCCUUAUGAAUACGAGCACAUAAUGAGUUCCCCUUGAUCCAUAUCGAUAGCCUAGUUAAGCAACUUGAAAGCUGAUAGUGCAGAGGUUCCAUCGAGACCUUUGUUGUAAUAGUGUGUGACGAACUCUUUGAUUGUAAUUUCUCUGUAGCACGGCGGGUUUGUUUCAGAUAGCAACUCCUUGAUCGGGCUGUAUGACCUUGAUGCUGUUUUCUCCCAAAAAUGUGUUCUAAAGAAACUUGCCACUGAUAUUCUAGGGCCAAUCUUUUGUGCUAAUACUCUGUGGUUCACACUCUUGAAUUUGUCAUUGGUAAUGAGCUGCACAGAUAAAACAAGUUAAACAAUUUGUAAUCUAGUCAUAGUUUUGUACACAAUGAUCAGUAGUACUAACACAAAGUACCAAAGUGUUGUUAAUCUACCAGAUUAAACGAGUUUUUUAUGACAUAUAACAUCCCUUUACCUGUAAAAGGUCUGCAAUGUUUACUAUUAAAGAUCCGGGGACAUGAGGGAUAUCGAUCCACUCAUUGUCAUGAAUAACUUGGAGGCCGCCUAUGUUGUCUUGUAAGAGUAUGGUAAAAAACCCGCUAUCAGAGUGAUUGCUGGUGGCUAGAGUUAGUUCUGGUUCAGGGCAUGCAGGGUAGUAGUGACCAACUAGGAAAAGGCCUUCAGCACAAGCCAUGUCUUUCAAGUGAUUCCUAUUAAGUCCAAGAGCUUCUGAGAAUAGUUCCAACAGUGUAAUCCCCAUUUUCAUUAUGUACUCUGAGUAAUCAAACAUGAUGUCUCUGCAGUACAGGAUAAUGCACAAAAUCAAAAACCAAGAACUUGUCAAUAUUCAAAUAUUAUGUAUACUGUUUUUGAGUAUAUAUGAUACUACUCAAUUCUUAAAUAGAAUCGCGCAGAGGCAAAACUAAGCAAACAUUUAGUUUUCGACCUACUAAAAGAAGAACAAGUUUUUUCUAAUUGAGAUCAUAAAUGUACACAAAAACACGCAUAAAUCACAAGUCUUGACAUGUACCUGCACACUUCAGGCAUUUCCUCCAGCUGAGGAGGCUCCGGAGCCAUGUUACAGAAGAUAGUAUCCCUCCAGUUAGCUGCAGGUGCUUUAUAAAGAUCAAAAUUGCUAUUAUACAGAAACUUUUUUGUAAAAUCACGCGAAUAAAACAGCUUCUUCAGCUCAGUAUCUUGCUCAUGAAACUUACAAACUCCAUCGAUCAUUUCAUCCA